Stegostoma tigrinum is the source of this 239-nucleotide long non-coding RNA. RefSeq lists it as uncharacterized. The record is from RefSeq and is a predicted model, not a curated record. NCBI's taxonomy places the organism in Eukaryota, Metazoa, Chordata, Chondrichthyes, Orectolobiformes, Stegostomatidae. The transcript has 3 exons.
GGUAACAAAGUGCGGAGCUGGAUGAACACAGCAGGCCAAGCAGCAUCUCAGGACCACAAAAGCUGACAUUUCGGGCCUAGACCCUUCAUCAAAGAGUGAGAGAAGACAGUCCUGUUCAAGGAAUGUCGACCCAGAUGCAAAUCACAAAGCUCAAGACAAGCCGCAACUUGUUGAGUUCACCGAAAAAGGAGCACCUGCAACCUCAUCACGGCCAAAUGCUAAGCUCUUGGAUCAAUCCC